UGGGUAUUAACCAUCAUCCUUUCCUCACAACUUAAAGUGCUUUACAACCCUAGAGCCUUCUUCACACACGCGGCAUGGCUGCAUCAGGGUUUCCCCCAUUGUGCAAUAUUCCCCACUGCUGCCUCCCGUAGGAGUCUGGACCGUGUCUCAGUUCCAGUGUGGCUGAUCAUCCUCUCAGACCAGCUAAAGAUCGUCGCCUUGGUAGGCCUUUACCCCACCAACUAGCUAAUCUUACGCGGGCUCAUCCAAUAGCGAGAGCCGAAGCCCCCUUUCUCCCGUAGGACGUAUGCGGUAUUAGCAGUCGUUUCCAACUGUUGUCCCCCACUACUGGGCAGAUUCCCACGCGUUACUCACCCGUCCGCCGCUUUAAUCAAUCCCGAAGGAUCUUUCUCGCUCGACUUGCAUGUGUUAAGCCUGCCGCCAGCGUUCAAUCUGAGCCAUGAUCAAACUCU
This 452-nucleotide ribosomal RNA is filed under the name uncultured Gammaproteobacteria bacterium. RNAcentral describes it as "partial 16S ribosomal RNA". Lineage: Bacteria; Pseudomonadati; Pseudomonadota; Gammaproteobacteria. The record is from RNAcentral.